UACGUAGGGGGCAAGCGUUGUCCGGAUUUAUUGGGCGUAAAGCGCGCGCAGGCGGCGGUGUUGGCCCGGCGUGAAAGCCCCCGGCUCAACCGGGGAGAGUCGUCGGGGACCGCACCGCUUGAGGGCGGUAGGGGCUGGUGGAAUGCCUGGUGUAGUGGUGAAAUGCGUAGAGAUCAGGCAGAACACCUGGGGCGAAGGCGGCCAGCUGGGCCGUCCCUGACGCUGAGGCGCGAAGGCGUGGGGAGCGAACGGG
This 253-nucleotide ribosomal RNA is filed under the name uncultured bacterium. RNAcentral describes it as "partial 16S ribosomal RNA". It matches the Rfam family "Bacterial small subunit ribosomal RNA", at positions 524 to 776 of the family's 1533-position model. The record is from RNAcentral.